This is a long non-coding RNA of Mya arenaria, 480 nucleotides long. RefSeq lists it as uncharacterized. The record is from RefSeq and is a predicted model, not a curated record. Lineage: Eukaryota; Metazoa; Mollusca; Bivalvia; Myida; Myidae. The transcript is spliced from 4 exons.
AUUGAAACAACAUUAUUAAUUGUGGUAAACCUUAUCUGGCAGUACUUAAGAGUGCAUCUUUGACUUUAUUACUCGAGUGAAUGCACCUUCAAACCGGUUUAACACCAACAUGUCACAGUAAUCAAUACCAUCUGUGUUAAGAUGUCGGGAAUGUGUUAGACGAAUGAUUUUGUUUUAUGGAGCUUUGAAGAGCGAUGAAUGGCACUAAAGUGGUGCCAAAUGGAUAUCUCAAACACCCAUUGUUGAUGUGUGAUGCUGAUAAUACAGAGACAGCUAGAGUGACAGAGUUUGAUGAAUAAACUUAAAUUAAAAAACAGAAAUAACCACCAUCUCUCUCAGAGGUCAUCUUUCUCAUUAUUGUGGGAAACCUCAAAGGGCAUCAGGAAAACCUUCAUCAACCUCUUUGUGCCCAGUGGCUUGUGCAACAGUGUUUCAGAAAUUAUCAUUAAAAUGGGGAUAAUGGAUGACUGGCCACACAUA